Molecule: long non-coding RNA, 740 nt
Filed under: Trifolium pratense (red clover)
Lineage: Eukaryota; Viridiplantae; Streptophyta; Magnoliopsida; Fabales; Fabaceae
Description: long non-coding RNA (TPRA_LNC009289)
Source: RNAcentral
UUUAACAUUAAUUCCAAUUUUACAAAAUGGCUUCUUGCAAUUCCUAAGUGGUAAAAAAAUUUAAUAACAAAACAUGCAAAAUUUAUCUUAUAAAUCGUUUAAAAACAUUUCUUAUACAAAAUGCAAAAUAAGUAAAAUAUGACUAAAAUCAACAUGUUUAUUUAUGCUUUGAUCAUCUUUUCUUUUCCGUUUCUUGUUGAAUGCUCUAAUUAUAAGAAAAGUAUGUCAUUUUUUACACCAUUUUCAAAUUUAUCUCAUACACAAUAGUAUAAAACCUCUUAUAAUGUUUCUUUUUUCUUAUUUGACAAUGCAGCUAAUAUCCGCUGCAAAACUAACGAGGAUUGUCCACGAUCAGUAAAAUUUGUUUGGAUAUGCAAAGAAAAAUUUUGUGAGUUAAUUAAUUAAAUUGAACCUUUUAUAAUAUAAUUUUAUGUGAUCCUCAUAAUGUUUGUGCUCUUAAUAAUUUAUUUCAAAAUUUGUAUGAUGUAGUAUAAUAAUAUGCAAGUAAUUUUAUCUUUCUUCGCUCAUAGAGAUAUAGUAAACAACAACAUAACUGCAUAGUUAUUAAUUAGUAAUAAAGUUAACUUAAUAAAUAAUCCAGUUGCAUGUACGUAUUUUGUUUUCAGAAACCUGUCACAAAUUGUUUUUCCUGUUGUUUGAAAAGACAAAAACAUUGUUACUGUUUCUACCACAUUAUUUUAUAGGUGCUUUAUUUUUUUAUGUGAUGGUCAUAAUGUUUG